GGGAGGGGUUGGACGGGGAGAUAUGGAGUACAGAAAACAGGAGGAGAACUGGAAACACUAAAGAGAGCAGGAAAACAAUAGGAAGGUUCACACAGCAGCUUUUUCCGUAUCGAAACACAAUGGGGCCUUUGACAGCAAGACUGUGGGACAUCGGCUUUGAUGUUGAGUUCUAAUAAGUUGUGUAUGUCUGCGUCUAAAGACAAUGCUUGCAGGCGCUCAACCCAAGGAGAGAGAAACAGAAAAAAAGGGAGAGGGAGCUGUUAAACUGUAUUCAGUUGUGUAAACUGUAGCUAACACACAACAGGUGCUGUUUCACCCAAACCCCACCCUGCAGUAAGUGUCACACCAACCAGAAGUUACAGCACACAAACUGGAAGUGAUGUCACACCAAAUUUAAAUUGUAGAAAAGUACCCAACCCGAUGCAGGACUCUACAUUAAAGUCUAUGGUGUUUGUUAUUGCUUGAGUUAAACGGGAUUAACAGGGAAAUUUAAUUUACUCCAUGUUUGGUCCUUGCGAGGUAGAUAAUUAUAUUACCAGUAAACAACCCCCUCCUUUCCACCUUUGUUGUGACUGUUUUGCAAUCCAGAAGAAGAAACCCAUUAUGCUGAGGGAUUAUUUUUGCACUGGCUAUUUAUCUACCUCACAAGGACCAACAUGGAAUACAUUUGUUUGCCUUGUUUAUAGUACAAGAAGUAACAAAUAUAUCUAGAUUUUUGGUGAUUAAAACAAUAGAAAAAAUAUGUUAAGCACAAGCCCUAUUUGUUGACAUCAUGUUGGACAUGGGGGUGUACUGCCACUUCAAUGGCCAUAUAGGGUUUAAGCUUCAGUUAAGUUUGGUAAGCAUCCUUGGCAUACAAGGCACACGAUCUCCUGGAUUCAAACACCAUGUAAACCUGAUUCCACAUUCUCCCAGAAGCAUGAAGUUAAAACAAGGAUGAUGUAAAAAUCAUAGUCAGGGGCAAGUUUUGAGGUCAAAGCAAGUGGAAAUCAAACAGGCAGAAGUCAAAAACCAGGAAAACUUACAAUAACACUAAGGCAUGAGCAGUAUCUGAACAUAGAAACCAGCUUUGGCAAAGAACAAAGAGGAACAGACCCUUUAAAGCCUAAAGGAUGAUGCUCUGACAUAUGACCUUUUUCAAUUACUUUCCAUUAAUAUAUUUUUACAGCUUUUCCAAAAUCUAAGUUUAAAGUUGAAUGUCCCUAUCUCUAGUCUGGCAGCUCAAUAAUUCAGGCACAGGCUUUGAACUGUUACAAUUUUGCAACAUUUAGUUGACACAUUUCUCAGCAGUAAGCUGCCAGGAUCAGAAACCAUAACCAGCAUCUCCUAAAAAUAUUUGAUAUAUUGUUAAAUCAAUAUAGGGAGCUUUAUCAUUCUACACAUGUAAACAUUUAUAAAAAUGGAACACUUUACAUUGCUCUUUUGGCAUCUUCAAUUCUAUCUAAAAUUGCAUUUUUGUUUGUGGGAGGGGCAACUGGUGUGAAGAGUAAAAGAUAUUAUGUAAAACAGCUAGCUGACUUAAACAAGCAAACAAAGGUAAAAGUGUCAACAAAUUUGUUCAUAAUAAACACCUUUUAAUAGAUGGGGCUGGUAUGUGUCUUUAGUAGUAACACAUCUCACAAACAUCAUAUAGACAAAGGAAAUACACACUAAGGAUGGAUUUUGACUAAGAAUAGUUAAUGUCACGCUUUAAAAAACAUUAAUAUAUGUAAUAACAGUUCUAAGAUAUUUGACAUUACUAAGUUAUGCCAACAUAUUAUAUGGAAAGUUGAA
Long non-coding RNA from Xenopus laevis (African clawed frog), 1773 nucleotides. RefSeq lists it as uncharacterized. NCBI's taxonomy places the organism in Eukaryota, Metazoa, Chordata, Amphibia, Anura, Pipidae. The record is from RefSeq and is a predicted model, not a curated record. The transcript has 4 exons.